AGAACGCGCAUUAAUUAUCCCUGGGGCCAUGGGAUAAACAAAAACCCUGAAAAAAUAAGUUAGCACAUCCUAGAAUGGUUUUAGCACAAUUACUAACCUAUGGCUCUGAUACUAGUUGAUGGGAAAAACUC
Molecule: microRNA precursor, 131 nt
Organism: Vitis vinifera (wine grape)
Lineage: Eukaryota; Viridiplantae; Streptophyta; Magnoliopsida; Vitales; Vitaceae
Rfam family: MIR845_2 microRNA precursor family
Source: Rfam